GGUUAGAUGGUGUAGUGGUAACACCUCCCAGUGCAUAUGGGAUGACCUGGGUUCAAUCCCUGGUCUGACCA
This is a transfer RNA of Trametes cinnabarina, 71 nucleotides long. It matches the Rfam family "tRNA". From Rfam's summary of the family: Transfer RNA (tRNA) molecules are approximately 80 nucleotides in length. Their secondary structure includes four short double-helical elements and three loops (D, anti-codon, and T loops). NCBI's taxonomy places the organism in Eukaryota, Fungi, Basidiomycota, Agaricomycetes, Polyporales, Polyporaceae. The record is from Rfam.